AUUAGGGUGCCUGAGUAAAGGGUUAUUCUGAUAUUAUAAUUCACGUAAUUAAUACCCCUAAUA
Molecule: transfer RNA, 63 nt
Filed under: Thyropygus sp. DVL-2001
Lineage: Eukaryota; Metazoa; Arthropoda; Diplopoda; Spirostreptida; Harpagophoridae
Description: tRNA-Ile
Source: RNAcentral